Molecule: long non-coding RNA, 555 nt
Organism: Ochotona curzoniae (black-lipped pika)
Lineage: Eukaryota; Metazoa; Chordata; Mammalia; Lagomorpha; Ochotonidae
Exons: 2
Source: RefSeq, a predicted model, not a curated record
UCUGGGAGUGCUCAGCCAGCCAGCCGGGGACACACGUGGCAGAUGCUGACAGCGUCGGUGGGGAAUGAGAGACGCGAGAAGGAAGCACUGAUUAGACACAGCUCGGUGACACAUCAGGGCUCAUCUCACGUGUGCUGGGACGGGAGCCGGCAGUUGCAUGUGAAAUCAUUUGGGUUUUCUCAGAAACACCAAGCUGUGCUGAGGAGAAAGGCCCUGUUGGUUUUUCUGGUAGUUCACAGCCUGUGUGGGUCCGGCAAGCAGUGAUGGACAGAUUUCAAAGGCCAGCUCUGGCUGUGCGAAGUGAGACUGGAUACUACUGAAGAGCGGCCCUCGUCCAGCUCCUGGCUGCCUCGCUGAAUCAUUCUUCUACGAAGAGGUUAAUGAACUUGUGAUUGGUAAAUCCUGCUCACUCCCCCCCCCAAAAGCAGAAAAUCCUUAAGUGUACCAUGAUCAUUCCGGAAGUCAUUGCCAUUCUCCAUGAAUAAAGCUCACCCUUCAGCCAGACCUCAGCGUUCCCCGCGAGCGAGAGAUGCAGAGAAGCUGUUCUGGACUGUG